Molecule: long non-coding RNA, 384 nt
Organism: Centruroides sculpturatus (bark scorpion)
Lineage: Eukaryota; Metazoa; Arthropoda; Arachnida; Scorpiones; Buthidae
Exons: 3
Source: RefSeq, a predicted model, not a curated record
AAUAUAAAUUAUGAGAAAAUGAAUUAACAAAAUUUAAAUAAACAGUUUUUCUAUUAUAGAAGUUUACAAGAAUUACUUGAUUAUGAAGAUGAUGAUGUAGAAGAUGUAUUUGUUCUAAAUUUUGAAGUGUCAUUAGAAGUAUAUGGUGCUAGAGUCUCUUUUGAAUUGAAACCCAAUGGAGCUAAUAUUCCAGUCACUAAAGAGAACAGGAUGGAAUAUGUAGAUUGCUAUGUGGAUUUUAUCUUGAAUAAAUCUGUAGAGGACGCUUUUAAAUCUUUUUCCGAUGGAUUUUAUAAAGUCUGUGGCAGCAAAGUUUUAGUGAGUAUAUAUUUUAAUUUAUUGAUUUUAUUUAAAAUCUUUUUUUCAUUCAUUCACACUAUAUUC